AAACCGUUCAGUUUUAGCCUUAAUAGACGGAAGGCGAUCGUUACGCAAGUUAUUUUGAUGUGCACUACUAAAACUACUAUAAAACCAAUCUAUUAAUUUAAAUUAAACAAAAGAUCCGAGUUCUUCGCGAAAUGUUGACAUUGAGAAAAAUUCAGCGCAGGGAAAUGCGAAAGCGCGCGAGCAAACAAGACAAACUGCCAUCGAACGGUUGAUGAUCCAAUCACGUAAGAACAAAAUCGUG
Molecule: non-coding RNA, 241 nt
Organism: Paramuricea clavata
Lineage: Eukaryota; Metazoa; Cnidaria; Anthozoa; Malacalcyonacea; Plexauridae
Source: the annotation of a GenBank genome assembly